GGCGGCAGGCCUAACACAUGCAAGUCGAGCGGUGAAGGGAGCUUGCUCCUGGAUUCAGCGGCGGACGGGUGAGUAAUGCCUAGGAAUCUGCCUGGUAGUGGGGGAUAACGUCCGGAAACGGGCGCUAAUACCGCAUACGUCCUGAGGGAGAAAGUGGGGGAUCUUCGGACCUCACGCUAUCAGAUGAGCCUAGGUCGGAUUAGCUAGUUGGUGGGGUAAAGGCCUACCAAGGCGACGAUCCGUAACUGGUCUGAGAGGAUGAUCAGUCACACUGGAACUGAGACACGGUCCAGACUCCUACGGGAGGCAGCAGUGGGGAAUAUUGGACAAUGGGCGAAAGCCUGAUCCAGCCAUGCCGCGUGUGUGAAGAAGGUCUUCGGAUUGUAAAGCACUUUAAGUUGGGAGGAAGGGCAGUAAGUUAAUACCUUGCUGUUUUGACGUUACCAACAGAAUAAGCACCGGCUAACUUCGUGCCAGCAGCCGCGGUAAUACGAAGGGUGCAAGCGUUAAUCGGAAUUACUGGGCGUAAAGCGCGCGUAGGUGGUUCAGCAAGUUGGAUGUGAAAUCCCCGGGCUCAACCUGGGAACUGCAUCCAAAACUACUGAGCUAGAGUACGGUAGAGGGUGGUGGAAUUUCCUGUGUAGCGGUGAAAUGCGUAGAUAUAGGAAGAACACCAGUGGCGAAGGCGACUCACCUGG
This 698-nucleotide ribosomal RNA is filed under the name Pseudomonas aeruginosa. RNAcentral's name for it is "bacterial SSU rRNA". It matches the Rfam family "Bacterial small subunit ribosomal RNA", at positions 38 to 732 of the family's 1533-position model. Lineage: Bacteria; Pseudomonadati; Pseudomonadota; Gammaproteobacteria; Pseudomonadales; Pseudomonadaceae. The record is from RNAcentral.